GUCCGUUUUAGACUGUCAGUGCAUUUCAGCUACGCAGAUUGGUGAGAUGGGUGGGAAGAUUUUUUAAAAGGUAGCACAUACCCCCCAAAAAAGCCACAUAUGCAAAAGAAACAAAACUAUUUCUGUACUGUGUGUUUUCUCUUCCCGUUGUUUCCCUUGAGGGCCAAGUGCGCCUAUCUGAUAGCACUGAAUUUUAAAAUAGCUUUUUCUGAAAUGAAAAAUGAGCUGGUAUAUUCAUUCCUCCCUUUCUUUCAUGGAUGCAAGCCUAAAACGCCCAGGGAUGUGCAGAGCAGAAUGCUCCAGCUGCAGCAGGGGAUGAGUCACUGCCACAGUGCCAGAAAGGAAUAUGUUAAUGAGGGAUAGCCCACCUGGACAGAAAAAAAAGCUUGCCUGGAGAGGAGAUAAAACAAGCUGCAGUGCUGAGCAAUAAAAUCUCUGAUGUAUUAAUGGUGACUCCGGUGAGCAAAUAUGAUAAUUGUGAUUCAUCAUAAAUUGCUGAACACUCCCCCCCCCCAGACUGCGUGAUUUUUCUUUGUAUGUGGGCUGUAGCUCAUAAACAUUCCUGGGGUUGCUAUAAUACCGGCUUCAUAGAUCUGCACUAUUGCAGCUGAAGAUGACAUUUUAAAGGCCACUUUUGUUAAAAACAUUAUUUAUUGUUACUAUGCCAUUUUGCUGACUUAAAGAGGCAGGAUUUGGGGAGUUUGUCCUCUCAAAGGUUUUAUGUAGUUUUAUCAUGUCUCAAUAGAUUUAAGAAAAAAAAAUAUUUUUAUGUCAUUUGAAUUGUAAUUCUCUUGUGCUGGUUUUUCCACCAUAGGAUUCUGUUUUUUUUUCCACCGCCAUUUCUGGGAGGUACCUUGUUGGAGUCAGCUUCAACAAGGCUUGGCAGCUUGUUCCAGACUUCCACAACUCUUUGUGUAAAGACGUACCUCCUGGUUUCCCUUCCUGUUUUCUUUGCUGAAGAUAAGGUAAAUCCAACAAGUUAAUUAAUUCUGUUUACCUGUAUCAGGUCUCCCC
Molecule: long non-coding RNA, 1014 nt
Filed under: Lepisosteus oculatus (spotted gar)
Lineage: Eukaryota; Metazoa; Chordata; Actinopteri; Semionotiformes; Lepisosteidae
Description: lncRNA (ENSLOCG00000022962.1)
Source: RNAcentral